This 461-nucleotide ribosomal RNA is filed under the name uncultured bacterium. Its description in RNAcentral is "bacterial SSU rRNA". It matches the Rfam family "Bacterial small subunit ribosomal RNA", at positions 29 to 524 of the family's 1533-position model. The record is from RNAcentral.
AACGAACGCUGGCGGCAUGCCUAACACAUGCAAGUCGAACGGGAUCCUGGCUUCGGUCAGGUGAGAGUGGCGGACGGGUGAGUAACGCGUGGGAACCUGCCCAGUGGUGGGGGAUAACUGCGGGAAACUGCAGCUAAUACCGCAUGAGCCCGAGAGGGGAAAGAUUUAUCGCCAUUGGAGGGGCCCGCGUUCGAUUAGGUAGUUGGUGAGGUAACGGCUCACCAAGCCGACGAUCGAUAGCUGGUCUGAGAGGAUGAUCAGCCACACUGGGACUGAGAUACGGCCCAGACUCCUACGGGAGGCAGCAGUGGGGAAUAUUGGACAAUGGGGGCAACCCUGAUCCAGCAAUGCCGCGUGAGUGAUGAAGGCCUUCGGGUUGUAAAGCUCUUUUGGCGGGGACGGAUGAUGACGGUACCCGCAGAAUAAGCCCCGGCUAACUUCGUGCCAGCAGCCGCGGUAAU